Molecule: transfer RNA, 92 nt
Filed under: Staphylococcus aureus
Lineage: Bacteria; Bacillati; Bacillota; Bacilli; Caryophanales; Staphylococcaceae
Description: tRNA-Ser(tga)
Rfam family: tRNA
About the family: Transfer RNA (tRNA) molecules are approximately 80 nucleotides in length.
Source: RNAcentral
GGAGGAAUACCCAAGUCCGGCUGAAGGGAUCGGUCUUGAAAACCGACAGGGGCUUAACGGCUCGCGGGGUUCGAAUCCCUCUUCCUCCGCCA